Mangifera indica (mango) is the source of this 2223-nucleotide RNA transcript. It is a transcript of the gene named protein WHAT'S THIS FACTOR 9, mitochondrial, with no coding region annotated. The transcript is spliced from 5 exons. The record is from RefSeq and is a predicted model, not a curated record. Lineage: Eukaryota; Viridiplantae; Streptophyta; Magnoliopsida; Sapindales; Anacardiaceae.
CCUUAGGGCCUCUAAAAUGCCCUUAGUUAAAGUUGAAAAAUAUUUCUCAAAACACAGGGUGCACUCUCUUCCAUCUCUCGCUAUUUACGUGUCCGUGACUUCAUGGUUCCGCCGUCGCGGUUGCUCUCCGAUGCCACCUUCCUGCACCGCCUCCACCAACUCCGCACAUUUAUCGACGCACGCGUUAAAUGGGUACGUGACCCCUACCUCGACACCGUUGUCUCUAAAGAGAAAGACCUCAAGCAAAUCAUUUCCCUCAAAAACCAAAUCCUCUCGUCAUCUCUCCCUCUCUCCACUCUCUCAACUUUCCCCGUCAAAUUCUUCCUAAAAUAUCCUACUUUUUUCCGAAUAUUCCAACCCUCGCCCUCCUUCCCGCUCCACAUCAAGCUCACCCCUCAAUCUCUGACUCUGCACAAAGAAGAGUCCGCCAUUCACAGCUUGCCAUGUCACCGUGAUGACGCCGUUAAACGGUUGGCGAAGUUGCUGAUGCUGGCUAAUGCUAGGAAGCUGCCGUUGCAUGUUGUGGACAAGUUCAAAUAUGACCUCGGUUUGCCUCAUAAUAACAUUAAGUCCCUGCUUGCUGAUUAUCCAGAGUAUUUUCAGGUAUGUGAAAUCACAGAUCCUGUUACUAACAAAGAAACACUGGCAUUGGAGUUAGUUUCUUGGAGAAAAGAACUUGCAGUAUCUGAAAUGGAAAGAAAAGUGUGUAAUGGUGAUAUUUCAAAUCUAAGAAAAGGAAGGUGCAUAGAGUUUCCAAUGAAUUUCCCUCGAGGGUUUGACUUGGAAAAAAAGGUUAAAAAUUGGGUCGAAAAAUGGCAAGAGCUGCCUUAUGUUUCACCUUAUGAAGAUGCAUUCCAUUUAGCUCCGAGAAGUGACCUGGCAGAGAAAUAUACUGUUGCUGUGCUUCAUGAGUUGUUAUGGCUUUUGGUGUCAAAGAAGACAGAGAGAGAUAAUGUGUUUUGUUUGGGAGAUUAUUUGGGGUUUGGUGAUAGGUUUAAGAAGGCUUUGGUGCAUCAUCCGGGGAUCUUUUAUGUGUCUAAUAAGAUUAGGACACAAACUGUGGUGAUUAGGGAGGCUUAUAAGAAGGAUUUUUUGGUACAGAAGCAUCCGUUGAUGGGGAUGCGGCAUAGGUACAUUCAUCUCAUGAAUAAAUCAAAGGAUAGAAGUAAACAAGUUCGUGUCCCAUCUUUGGGUUCAACAGGAAAAAGAAAGGUUAGAGAGAAAAUGACAAAAGAGGAUGAUAAAUGUGGUUCAGGAGAAGAAGAGGAUUCCAAUGAAUCUUCUGAUUCAGAGUUCCAGGAUUUUGAUAGUCAAGAAACUGUGAAGAUGGAGACCUGAUAAGUAGAGGAUAAAGCUUUGAAAAUUUAACUUGAGAACCUGAGAUAUAUGCUUUAGAAAGCUCAAGAAAAGGUACACUUGUCAAAAUCUAUGCAACUUAUCUAAGAAAAAUGGAAUGCAAGAGGCAUUAAUCAUAUGGCUUAUGAAAUUCAUCAAACUUAGAAAGCGUUAGCCCAAAAAAAGGUAGCUCCAAUCAAUGGAAGGAGCUCAACCUAGUAAUGUUUAUCCGACAUAGGAUGAAAUAUCUGGACAUUCAUGGAUAUUGGAUGAUGACAUCUAUUGGAGGAGGGAGGAUCAGUUUGUCUAGCAAUGCAGAGUAUGACAGUGGAUUGAAGAUAAUCUGCGGUAGCUUCUGUUGUGCAGGGAUAAUGACAUGCACUUACAUUAUGUUCGAGUAUGGAUGAUUGGUGUAUCGAGGAAUAAACUAUUGCUUCAAUGGGUCAUGAAUUUUGAGGUCUCAAAAACUGGACGGAAAAGUCUUGGAAGAAAUGUUUUUACUUCAGUUUCUUUCUUUAGCGUUUGAACUCCAGCUACUGGGUUGGAAAAUUAACUCAUUGGUGGACUGGCAUACUUAAAGUUCAAAUGUACCAUUGGUAGCCAGAUGCAGAGGAGAUUACUAAAGUAUUUGGCUGGUAACAUUACCAACCCUUGACAACUUUUAGAUGGGCAUACUCUAUAUGAUUCUUUUAAUGUUAAUCGAAUGGUUGUCACAGACUGUUAAUAAUAUCAAUCGGGUACUUCAGUGAGAUAAAAGGGAUAUUUCCAAUACUUCAGUAAGAACAAAUAGAUGUUUUAAAAGGAGUAAGGUGUUGCCUAUGCAAGUAAUUUAAUUAUGGAGUGACAACUUGUGGCAUGAUAUGCUCAAGUGUGAAGUUUUAUGAUGCC